GGAGAGGACUCUUCUUAACUAUCUCGUUUUUAAGAUUCUUGACCAGUGCUUGAUUGUUAUUCUUGUCUAGAACAGCGAACCGAUUGCGAGCCACAAAAACAGCUGAACUCCCAGCUCCUUUCUUUGCUUCCUGUAUGUAAUCACCCCUUCCAGCAGAGUCUUUGGGAACGAUAUAUAGUUCAUAUGAGCCGCCAUCCAUAUCAGAACAGAUCAAAAUCGCAUUUUCCGUGGGACUAAAAGACAGUAUCUUAGGCCCCUGAUUCAAGCUAACAGAUCCAGGUCUUCUUAUCGGAACAACCUGAAUAUCUUUUUGAGAUGAGAACUCGUAAUACCUCAAGAAUCGAUCUUUGACAUAGUACAUUGAGUCACCAGUAACAGAAAAAGCAGGGCGUUCUCUC
Molecule: unclassified non-coding RNA, 398 nt
Filed under: Hevea brasiliensis (rubber tree)
Lineage: Eukaryota; Viridiplantae; Streptophyta; Magnoliopsida; Malpighiales; Euphorbiaceae
Source: RNAcentral